This 505-nucleotide ribosomal RNA is filed under the name uncultured bacterium. RNAcentral's name for it is "bacterial SSU rRNA". It matches the Rfam family "Bacterial small subunit ribosomal RNA", at positions 20 to 507 of the family's 1533-position model. The record is from RNAcentral.
UGGCUCAGGAUGAACGCUGGCGGCGUGCCUAAUACAUGCAAGUCGAGCGAACAGACGAGGAGCUUGCUCCUCUGACGUUAGCGGCGGACGGGUGAGUAACACGUGGAUAACCUACCUAUAAGACUGGGAUAACUUCGGGAAACCGGAGCUAAUACCGGAUAAUAUAUUGAACCGCAUGGUUCAAUAGUGAAAGACGGUUUCGCUGUCACUUAUAGAUGGAUCCGCGCCGCAUUAGCUAGUUGGUAAGGUAACGGCUUACCAAGGCAACGAUGUGUAGCCGACCUGAGAGGGUGAUCGGCCACACUGGAACUGAGACACGGUCCAGACUCCUACGGGAGGCAGCAGUAGGGAAUCUUCCGCAAUGGGCGAAAGCCUGACGGAGCAACGCCGCGUGAGUGAUGAAGGUCUUCGGAUCGUAAAACUCUGUUAUUAGGGAAGAACAAAUGUGUAAGUAACUAUGCACGUCUUGACGGUACCUAAUCAGAAAGCCACGGCUAACUACGUG